UAGGCGUAAAUGAUGCGAGUUAAGUGUGGGGGCAUCUACGAGAUGGCCCUGUGCUGUAGGGUAGCCGUUAAACUCGCUGCCUGGGGAGUACGGUCGCAAGGCUGAAACUUAAAGGAAUUGGCGGGGGAGGCACCACAACGCGUGGAGCCUGCGGUUUAAUUGGAUUCAACGCCGGACAUCUCACCAGGGGCGACAGCAGAAUGGUGGCCAGGUUGAUGACCUUGCUUGACAAGCUGAGAGGUGGUGCAUGGCGUAGUCGUGU
Molecule: ribosomal RNA, 262 nt
Filed under: uncultured archaeon
Lineage: Archaea
Description: partial 16S ribosomal RNA
Rfam family: Archaeal small subunit ribosomal RNA
Source: RNAcentral